CAUCAAAAGACACAGGAGGGAAGAGGAGAGAAAGCAAUUAGUUAAGCUCAAUGUUUCCUGGGAGAUAGUGAAACAAAUACUGCUGGUGACAGAAUAAAUAAUAAAAAAAAAAAAAGGAGUCUGUGUAGCUUCGAAUUGUUUUUUUUGUCUGUUCACUUAAUAAAUCCCCCGUCCAAGAUUUGCUCUGACUCAAUGCUUUACGAAUUGUGUCCAGCGAGGUUGCACACACACAAACGGGCUUGCUGUAUGCACAAUGACACUAAUUCGCCGCCUAAAUGGCCGUUGUCAGUUCUGUUCAUUUUUAUUUCAGGCCUCAUGCUUUCUGGCAUUAAAGAAAACACGGUUCAAAAAGCUUCUGAAGCUCCUGUAGUUAUCUUCAACAGCUUUCACAGCUCCCUGUGAAAUUUUCACUUGGUAUGAAGUUACACUUUUUUUCCUUCACUUCGCGUCAUUCCAUGUCUCUUAUGAGAAUCAGAAAGGGUUAUUUUAGGCCGUCUCGUCUCACUCUCUCCUUCUCUCUACAGCUGAGAGCAAAGAGCACCCACUCGGCUGUUUACAGGAAGUGCUCCCGCACAUACACAACGUCAACACUGUCAAGCUCUCCCCGUGCUGCUUAGCAACUGGCUAAAGGAGGAUUUUGGAGGUGGAGGGUGAGCUGAUAGGAGGGGGAGAAACGUGGCAGAGGGAAAGAGACAUGGAGAGUUCGCAGUUUGCCUUCACUGGUCGCAGUCUGCUUCAAUGUGCAGCUGCCUGUUUGCAGAAGAGGGAAGCAAGUGGGAAGAGAUGGGUUGAAGAGUUCAUAUCCAUGGACUCUUGUGCUGUCUAAAUGUGCUAGUCAGCGAUGAGAGAGACAAUGCACAUCACAUCCUCCUCCUUAACAACACAUUACACAUUCUAAGUAGAUUGUGAAAUGCAGGUCAUUGCAUCCACCACUGACUGACUUCAUUAAGCUGUAAAUUAAGCGGUAAAGUCAAUCCACAGAUGAUGUGCGCUAGGAUAUUAAAAUAAUAAGAGUUACAAUCUGCUAAUGUGGCAAAUAUCUCUUUGUAGGAUUGUGUCUGGUGUCUUCUUUCAGUUCACUGGCCACUUUAUGAGGUGCUGGAAACAUUCAGAGAUUUUGAUCCAUAUUGACAUGAUGGCAUCACACAGCUGCGUUCUCCUACUGGAAGCAGCUCAAAGGAUAGGGACGCACUGUGGUCAUAAAGAGGUGGACAUGGUCAGCAACAAUAAUCAUGAAGGCUUUGGUGUUUAAACAAUGCUCAGAUGAUAGAUCCUAGAUAGAUUCUUUUUUGACCUCACCACCCAAAUGUAGCUGCAGAGAGCAAGAGUCAUCAAACCAGGCAAUGUUUUUGUAGUCUUCUAUUGCUCAAUUUUGUUGAACCUUUGCAAGCUGUAGCCUCACUAUCCUGUUUUUACCUGACUUCAGUGCUGUAGCCCAUCUACAAGGCUCAAUGUACAUUCAGAGAUGCUCUUAUUCAUAUUUUGGUUGUAACAAGUGGUUUUUGAGUUACUGUUGCCUUCCUAUCAGCUCAAAGUGGUCUGGUCAUUCCCCUCUGACCUCUGACAUCGACAACCAUGGCAUAGUUCAACAAGUCACUUAAAUCACCUUUCUUCACCAAUCACAUGGCAGCAGCCUAAUGCAUUUAGGCUUGUAGACAUGGUAAGACAAUCUGCUAACAUUCAAACCAACAGAAUGGUGGUCAAAUAUAGAGGAACUGAACAUGUGUUCCAAUUAAAGGGUGUAAGUAUAUUUGGAUUGUUGGUACAAAUGGUUCUCUCUUUAGAUAGAAUGGGUUGAUAAAUGAUAAAGGGCAUAAUUUCAGUGUUUUCACUAUAAAUAUUUCCAAACAUUGUGAGACAGUCUCCUCAUCCUCAGGUUAGUAGAAGUAGGAGGAAGAAGAGUCAUGAUUAAAAUGCAAAUGUACAUUAAGAUGGAAAACUGCUCAUCUGAAAGUACAGGUUUAAGCAAUAAUAUAUAACAUGCGUCACUACUCUUGUUUGUGUAAACAAAAACUCAAACUCUCAAGCUGGGAAACUGUUACUAGUAAUUGAUGCUAAUUCAUUUGCUGCUUGACUGGGGGCAAAUGUCUCAUUUGUUACAAUUGGACUGCUUCAGUUCUUCCUGUUUUGCAUCUCUUUGUCGUGUUUUAAGUAGGAGGGCCAAGGAGGAAAUUGCAAAGUGAGAAAAACUGAGAGGAUAAAUCAGAAAAAUGAGAUGCAGCUCAUGUCUGACUCACUCAAAAUGCCUGGCAUCCAUCCAUCCAUCCAUCCACCAUCCAUCACGCUCACCAGAAAGCACUGAGUGAUACACCUGUUGAACUGCUUGUUAACACAAACAUCUAAUCAGCCAUCAACACUGCAGCAACGAUCACCCGAUCUCAAUCCAAUGGAGCACCUUUGGGAGGUGGUGGAAACAGAAAAUCUGCAGCAGCUGGGCGAUGCCAUCAUCAUCAUGACAGGAGGAUUGUUUGUACACCGGAACAGCGGUCUACUCUCGAUUACAGAACAGUGUGCAACAUCCAGUCGUCACCCUGCAACACGAAUCGUACAAAAAAAAAAA
This is a long non-coding RNA of Oreochromis niloticus (Nile tilapia), 2560 nucleotides long. RefSeq lists it as uncharacterized. The transcript is spliced from 3 exons. The record is from RefSeq and is a predicted model, not a curated record. NCBI's taxonomy places the organism in Eukaryota, Metazoa, Chordata, Actinopteri, Cichliformes, Cichlidae.